Long non-coding RNA from Dama dama (fallow deer), 2594 nucleotides. RefSeq lists it as uncharacterized. The transcript has 4 exons. Lineage: Eukaryota; Metazoa; Chordata; Mammalia; Artiodactyla; Cervidae. The record is from RefSeq and is a predicted model, not a curated record.
CCGGCGCCGCCCCCGCCCCUCCACGCGGGGCCGGGGGCAGAAUGGGCGUCUCGCUUCUCUUCACGAAACAAAGAAGCAACCGCCGCCGCCGCCGCCGCCGCCGCCGCCGCCGAGCGAGGAUCUACUGCCCUGAAAAAUGAGCAUCACAAGAAAACUGUUUACCCAAAUCAACCAAUGAGAUGUACUGUGCAGAAAACAAGAAGCCAUCCUCCAAAUUACAAACCCAGGGCAAUAGAUUUCUUUUAGCUGGAAGCCCAAGUUUUAAAUCAGCUCAGCAGAUGAUCAAGAAUAUCGUGUUACACUUGCAGCGAACUAUGUCACUUUCUGCAACUACAGGUCAAAACUAACUAUCCACAUUUUUCAUAGUUUUGUAGGUGUUUUAUAGGUACUGUGCAACUCCUCUGCCCCCAUGGAGGUUUCUGUUCUAAAGAAAUGGACAAAGAAACAUUAACCUGUGUGGUGAAUCGCCAAGAGGAGAUUAGUUCAAAACACAGGCUUGGAGAAUUUUCUCCUCUGAGGGCAGGAGGAGAAGGAGGUGACAGAGGAUGAGAUGGUUGGAUGGCAUCAUCAACUCAAUGGACAUGAGUCUGAGCAAAUUCCGAGAGACAGUGAAGGACAGGGAAGCCUGGUGUGCUGCAGUCCAUGGGGUCGCAAAGAGUCAGACACGACUGAGUGACUGAACAACCCCAGCUUGAAUGCCACCUCUCUGCCUCCCUCCCUGGCGUCUCACAGGAGGACUUGGCUUAGAUUUAGCUUCCAUCCCCACCCCAGACUGGUUAGACACCCUUCCUCUGCUGGGAAAGAUAGAGGCACAGGAGGGAAUCCUUUUUCAAAGGUGUUGAAAGGAUGAGCUUAGUAAGCCAAGCCACUGUUGAAGGACCAGAAAUUAGUAUGAGCAACAACAGCUAACACUUGCAUAGCAUUUCCUGGGUGCCAGCUGUUACCCUAAGCUGGAAAUCUGUAAAUUUAAAUGUAGUGGAAAUGCUAGUCGGUACCACCGCCUUGGAAGACCAUUUGGCAAUUUCCUACAAAACCAAACAUAUCCUUGGACUUGCCUGGGGCACAAGCGGUUACAAAUCCUCCUGCCAAUGCAGGGUACACAGGUUCAAUCCCUGGUCCGGGAAGAUUCUACAUGCUGCGGAGCAACUAAGCCUGAGUGCCACAACUACUGAAGCCCGCAAACCCUAGAUCCUGUGGCUCCUCAACAGAAGCCACCGCAAUGAGAGGCCCGCACACCACAAUUGGAGAGUAGCCUCCACCUGCUGCAACUAGAAAAAGCCCAUGCAGCAACACAGACCCAGCACAACCAAAAAUAAAAUAAGUAAAUAAAAGGAAAAGCUGUACUCUUAUCAUCUCGCAAUCCUGCUCCACAGUAUUUACCCAAAUGUAUUAAAAACGUAGGUCCACACAGAAACCUGCACACGAGUGUUUCUACCUGCUUUAUUCAUAAUUGCCAAAAUUUGGAGGCAGCCAAGAUGCUCCUCGAUAAAUGAGUGUAUAAACAAACUGUGAUAAAUCCAGACAGUGGAAUGUUAGCACUGCAGAGAAGUAAGACCAAACCAGGCAGCCCGCUUGCCACUUCCCACAACCAUACUUCCGCUGCAGGGGCAUGGUUUCGAUCCCUGGCCUGGGAACUAAGAUUCUGCAUGCCUCGCAGCAUGGCCAAAAAAAUAGGGGACAUGGAGGAACCUUAAUUGCGUAUUUCUGAGUGAAAGAAGCCAGUCUGUAAUGGCUAUAUACCGUGUGAUUCUAAUUCUAUGACAAUUCUGGAAGAGGCAAAACCGGAGAAUGUAAAAGGAAACCCUCCCCCUGGGGUUGGGGGUGAGAGAGAGGUAGUGAAACCAUUCUAUAUGAUACAGUCAGUGAUGGAUACAUGUCAUUUGCCCAAACCCAUAGAAUGUGCAACACAGGGUUUUCCCUGAUAUAAACUGUGGGUGAUGGCGAUGUGUCAAUGCAGGUAUAGCAAUUGCAGCAAAUGUACCACUCUGAUGGGGGCUGUUGACAGUGGGGGAGGCUGUGCAUGUGAGGAGGGCAGGGGCGAUAAGGAACUUGUACUGUUUUUUCUGUACUUUCUGCUCAGUUUUGCUGUGAACCUAAAACUGCCCUAAAAAUUAAAGCCUAUUUUUUAAAAAUGGAAAAUGCAACAAUAUGCGUGAACCCUAAUGUGAACCAUGGACUUUAGCCAAUAGUAAUGUAUCCAUAUUGAUUCAGUUGUAACCAAUUUCAGUUGUAGAAAGUGUUUCACAUUAAUGCAAGAUGUUAAUGAUAAGGGAAACUGGAAACUAUGGGAUAGAGGGUUGAUGGGGAGAGGAGAUACAUGGAAACUGUAUACUAUUUGCUCAAUUUUUUGUCAACCUAAAAGUGCUCUAAAAAAUAAAGUCUGGGGACUUCCCUGGUGGUCUAGUGGUUGAGAAUCCCCCUUGCAGUGCAGGGGAUGUGAGUUUGACCCCUGGUGUGUGCGCCCCAACUACUGAGCCCGCACGCCACAACUUGAGAGUUAAUGCACCGCAGUGAAGGAUCCCACGUGACGCAGCUAAAUAUAUCUUUGAAAAAUAAAGUCUGUUCAUCUAAAACCUAUACAUCCAUAUCCAUAU